GUUUGGGUUCUGGUCUUGUUCUACUCUGGGUGUCUCUCAGCUGUGACAGCAGAAGUUCAUUUUUUCUGUCAUUGACCCACAAAACCCAGGGCAGUUUCCUGGAUUGUUUUUCCUAUCAUUCCUCCAGUAUUUUUAAAGGAACCAGAUUAUGGGAAGCUGGCACCUAGUCUGUGCUCAGUCCAUCCUGGGCCUUUGUGGUCACUCUCAGCUGGGUCAGUUUUACUACUCCUUAGUCCUCGUCCAUUCAGUUGAACCUCAUCCCAACAGGACCUCUGAUGACAGGCAGCAUCACCAGGGGUGGUCCUGCUCCAGGACCUUGGCCAGGGAGGGCAUCAGGCCACUGGGUUAACAUAGCACGAGACCUGAGUCUGACCUUCUGCUCCCAUCUUUUUUUGUUUCUCACUUUUCACAAAGAAUUAUCCCUGUUCUCGUUAGUAAGUUUGGGUUCUGGUCUUGUUCUACUCUGGGUGUCUCUCAGCUGUGACAGCAGAAGUUCAUUUUUUCUGUCAUUGACCCACAAAACCCAGGGCAGUUUCCUGGAUUGUUUUUCCUAUCAUUCCUCCAGUAUUUUUAAAGGAACCAGAUUAUGGGAACAGCAGAGAGGAAGGAUCUCAUGAGUUCUCAUCUCAGAUAAAUUCCUCUUAGGCUUCCAUCUUCUCUAACUGAGCAGUGUCACUGUCCUUAAUACUCAUCCCAGAACUUGCUCCAUUACAGAUUCCUGGAUUGAUAAAACAGAGUCUAACAGAGGUUUAUGUUUAUUUGGAAAAUAUGACCCAUUAGUUAAGGAUCAUGAAGAUCAAAAUGUCUUUAGCAGCUGUGGAGUGCAGGAGGGCUGGUGUGGAGGGAUGAAGGGCAGCAUUUGUGAGAAAAGCCCAAAUGGCCCCGAUCUCAGUGUGAGAAACCCUUGACUGCAGAUGCCACAGCAGCAUUUGAUCUGAAAUUCCUUUAAUAAAGAAGGAGGAGUUGACACUGAUCAUUCA
RNAcentral lists this long non-coding RNA (980 nucleotides) under Marmota monax (woodchuck). The record is from RNAcentral. Lineage: Eukaryota; Metazoa; Chordata; Mammalia; Rodentia; Sciuridae.